Molecule: ribosomal RNA, 501 nt
Filed under: uncultured bacterium
Lineage: Bacteria
Description: bacterial SSU rRNA
Rfam family: Bacterial small subunit ribosomal RNA
Source: RNAcentral
AGUUUGAUCAUGGCUCAGAUUGAACGCUGGCGGCAUGCUUUACACAUGCAAGUCGAACGGCAGCACGGGGGCAACCCUUGGUGGCGAGUGGCGAACGGGUGAGUAAUAUAUCGGAACGUACCGGAAAUGGGGAUAACGUAGCGAAAGUUACGCUAAUACCGCAUAUGCCCUAAGGGGAAAGCGGGGACUCGCAAGAACCUCGCGUUUUCGGAGCGGCCGAUAUCGGAUUAGCUAGUAGGUGAGGUAAAGGCUCACCUAGGCGACGAUCCGUAGCUGGUCUGAGAGGACGACCAGCCACACUGGAACUGAGACACGGUCCAGACUCCUACGGGAGGCAGCAGUGGGGAAUUUUGGACAAUGGGCGCAAGCCUGAUCCAGCCAUGCCGCGUGAGUGAAGAAGGCCUUCGGGUUGUAAAGCUCUUUCAGCCGGAAAGAAAACGCACGGGUUAAUAACCUGUGUGGAUGACGGUACCGGAAGAAGAAGCACCGGCUAACUACGUG